GACGGGGCUGCUCCUUAGGUCAGCGGCGGACGGGUGAGUAACACGUGGGUAACCUGCCUGUAAGACUGGGAUAACUCCGGGAAACCGGGGCUAAUACCGGAUGCUUGAUUGAACCGCAUGGUUCAAUCAUAAAAGGGGGCUUUUAACUACCACUUUCAGAUGGACCCCCGGCGCAUUAACUAGUUGGUGAGGUAACCGCUCACCAAGGCGACGAUGCCUAGCCCAACUGAGAGGGUGAUCGGCCACACUGGGACUGAAACACGGCCCAAACUCCUACCGGAGGGAGCAGUAGGGAAUCUUCCGCAAUGGACGAAAGUCUGACGGAACAACCCCCCCUGAGUGAUGAAGGGUUUCGGAACGUAAAACUCUGUUGGUAGGGAAGAACAAGUACCGUUCGAAUAAGGCGGGACCUUGACCGGACCUAACCAGAAAGCCACGGCUAACUACCUGCCAGCAGCCGCGGUAAUA
RNAcentral lists this ribosomal RNA (468 nucleotides) under Bacillus licheniformis. Its description in RNAcentral is "bacterial SSU rRNA". It matches the Rfam family "Bacterial small subunit ribosomal RNA", at positions 73 to 525 of the family's 1533-position model. The record is from RNAcentral. Lineage: Bacteria; Bacillati; Bacillota; Bacilli; Caryophanales; Bacillaceae.